CACUGGCACAAGGAGGCAGGCAGCUGUGCAGGGUGAGCUCUGCAGUCUCAGAGAUGAAGGUGGAUUAAAAGUUCUGUGGCCACCCAUUUCCAUCCCAAGGAACACUGCAAUUUGCUGCUCCCUCGGUCUGCAUCUUGUCCCCUCCCUCUCUUCAUCACUCGUACUCAUAUUACCCUGGGAGCUGAUUAGCUCCUUCCCCCUUGUUAGUGUUCAACCAAUUUAGUGAGCUGAAUCAGUUCACUGCAGGGUCAGACAAGCACUGGGGCCCUCAGUGCUGGAGCAGAGGAUGGGACCGGGGCUGGGGCACACCUGGCUGCAGUUCGGGUGUUCUGCUGCCAUCACUUGUGAGACUGUGAGCCUCAGAAGGACUGGGCUCUUCUCUGUCUGCCUGACUCUGUAAAGAAAUGACCAUGGAGAAGUGUUUCUCGGUGAUGAAUUUCACACAGAAAUCAGAUCCAAGGUCGUCUUCUUCUCUGGCAGCAUCCUUUGGGAAAUGUACUCCAAAGACAGAGCUGAGAGUCUGGCAGCAAAUAAACCGAGUUUCAGUUCCAUCCCUUUUUCCUCUGUAGACCAGGGAGCCCCAGGGGGAUGGGAGUACCUGAGCAGUGUGGGGACCUGAUGGUGGGUGCCUGAGCUCAGAGCCCAUUGCCCUGAUUGAGGCUCUGGUGCAGUGAGGAAGAUCUGGGCAUAAUAUAGUGCACACUCUGUUCUGCAGUCUAGUCUGCUGCUCACUGCUAGGUUUACAGAGAAGAAAGCUGCUGCAUGCCAAAAUUACAUAAAUUCUGCUGGUUUCCUAUAGCCUAAGCCUCACAUUCACUAGGUAUGAUUACCUCAUGCUCACCUCUGCACCUGGGGAGUACACAAGGCCAACAAACAAGCCGAGCCAGAAAAAAGCUUCCUGGUUCCUGACAUCACUUUGCUUAUUCAGUGAAACGUGGUGUGCGAGGUCGGGGCGGGGGCACGUGGGGCUGCUGGGCGCAGUGCUUGUUUGUUGGGCUCAGCCUGGCCCUGGUGGGCUCUGCCAGGUGAGCUCUGGUUGCAGGAGGGCAGUGAGGGCAGUGUCACUCUGGGGGAGCACGAGCUGUUCCCUACUCACGUGGGCAAUGCUGCUCAGGAGGGUGAAACAUGAGCUUUUCUUCGCUGGAGGGCGGCAGGUGACGGUCAUGAACAACGACCAAGGCAGGAAAACCUCCGCAGAUAAAGAAGUGCCUUUUCAGCCCAAACAAGGGGUUUCAUAGACAAUUUUUAUUUGUUUUAGAAUUUGUGUUUCCCCGUGAAAACUUGAUAGAUUUUCCUUUUUAAAUCAAAAUAUCUUUUCAAGGGAAACAAGACCUCAUUUACCUUCCUCUGCGUAAAGCUUGCUGUCUUCUUCAGCUGUCCCAUGAGCUUGUAGGUAGAAGUUAGCACACAUUAUAUGGAACAGAAAGAUGAUCUAUAGUAAGGACCGCUGUGUUUUCAUUUGUAUGCGCUCCAUUCUUACGUGAUGCUUUGAGCCAAGUGAUGCUGGAGGCAGUAGGAAGGUGGGACAGGCUCAAGGCUCGCUGUCUUUAACUGCAGGUUUCACAAUACAAAGGAGCCGCACCAAUGAGGGAGGCACCACUGAUGCCUGGGCUCUGGCGUGCUCUCACUUUGCCAGACACCCAAAACCCAUGUGUGAGUGAGGCACUGUAGUGUCUCAACCACAGGUUGUGUCAUAAAGCAAAAUCCAUCCGCAUUUCCUCAGUUCCAGCCUUCGGGAACUGUUGGCUUUCCUUUCACCCGUCUGUCUGCCUUCCCGGCUAUUGCUACGAAGCGCUCUGCCACGCCUUGCUGCUCUAUGCCCUCAUCUAAGUCGUUAAUUAAAUCACUCAGUGGGAGCAUCAAGAUAGUCACGGGAUGGAACGAGUGAUCCCAUUGCUGCCACGGUUGUCCUCCUGCUCCCUCCCCACCCACCUCUUCCAUUUCGCUCCUGUUGUAUCAUGUCUCUGUGGAACAUUACCAUUUCAAGGCAGAGACUGUGCCAUUGUUUUCUGAGAACCACCCAGGAUAGUGAAGGGAGCUCAGUAAUAAUAACUAUUAUUAACACUGUGGUAGAGGGCGGAAUUUGGCUGCUGUAUCCUUUUUGUGUGCAGGGCUUUAUGCUGAGAUACACUGCUCUGCUCUGGCGUGUGCAUGCACUUGGAAAAAAUAGAGCAUAUGGACUUUUCUUCAGUUCCCAACAUUCCUGAAAGUACUUUUGAGUCAUUGUAGCUUGAAAAUGUCCUUUGCAGCGAGCUCCUCCUGUCCCUGUGCUGUGCGUGUCCCCGCUGGAUGAGCGGUGCUGCAGGCCACGAGGUGCCCCGUGAUAGCGGCUGUGAACAGGCGGCUGUGCUGCUGCGAGGUGGGGGGCUGGCGGGCACUGAGCAGCUCAGGAGCUGUUGCUGCAGAAGUGGGUCUGUGUGUAGGUCCCACUGUUCCUCAGCCUCAAGUCUCGCCUGUUUUUUUAACAUAAUUGACUUAAUUAGCUCAGUUGAAUGGGGAUUGUACAAUAAAUGGAAUCUACAUGCUUCCUCUGAGGAGUGGUGCUGUACACAGCAACUGGAGCAGCAGUGUUUCUUUAGCCCACACCAAACUCUUGGUUUGUACUGUGACUUGCAAAAGAAAUGAUGUCACUAAUACAACGACCACUCAUUUCUGUGUUUCUCAGUGGGUCUUCUGACAGGAUCGUUUCAGUGACUGCCCUCCAGCUCAGUAUUUAUUUCAAACAUCAGUUUCACAUCUAGUAAUAGCCAUUUACUUCUUUCUGAUUGUUUUGGUACCUGGUAAAGGGAGCAAAAGGGCAGAACCCUUCAGAAGCAGCAAGCACAUCCAAGUACAUCCAUUAUUGCAUUACCUCUGAUCAGGUUCUUGGAGCUUUGGUCACUUUUUUUUUUGUUUUGUUUUGUUUUGUUUUAAUUGAUUUUCUGAGUUAUUGAGGUUUGGAAUACAAAGUGUUCUUUGAUCCUUGGUACUGUUUUUUAAUACCCAAACUGUUUGAUGCUUCCUAUAGCAAAACGACAUCUUGCAGUUCAAUCAUCUCUCCAUUACAAAAUGAGGUCUGCAGGAUCCUCUGAUUUGUAUGGCUUAGGGGAGAACUUCCUAUCAGCUGGGACCGGAACUCAGUCUUUGGACCUCUUUUCUUCACCGUGUUUUAAGUCACUGUCUGACUCUUGCCAUUUAAUUAACUUUGUAGCACUUGACAGCAAAACAAGGAUGAUUUUAUAUUCACUCAGGAGGGUUAAGAUGCUUAAUUAGGCUGUGCUUUUGAAGUAGUUCCCUUAAUUCACUGCAGAAGAUCGGUGUAUUCAUGUAUAUCACAUGCACUGCAUUUAAAUAGGUUUAUACCAAGAGCAUUAGGUGAGUGUAUGCUUUGGAAGAACCUUGUGUGCACCUCUGCCCAUGAUAGCAUUUUGCGUCAGCUCACUUCUUUGAGUCAGAAAUGUAAAUGUGGUAAUCAAUAUCUCCGUGAGCCUGGAAGGCAAAGCCCCACAAUUAACAAUAACGUGCAGGUGAUAAUUAAGCUUGUUCUACAUGUCCCAGUUCUGGAGGCUGAUAACACAGACAAUCUCAGCUGCCUGGUCAUAGCUGAUAUUUGGGGACGGGCAGCAAGGAAGCUAAGAUAUUUUUUAAAAAGAUGAUGUGGUCAUGCAGGAAUGCAGUCAUGUGAAAAGUACCUAUGAUAGAGGGGGAAAAAAUGCUUCAUUCUUCCCUAGCUAGGUCUCUCCAUUUCUUCCCUGUGAUCAACAUAACACAUGUCAGAAACUGAGUUUACGUGGACCAAGACUUGGCACGUUGUACCAGCAAGGCAUUGGCUCCUGGUGAUGUGAGGCGCUGGCAAGGUGCUUGGGCCAGCGAGCAGCCCACACUAGGUGAUAAUUUAUGGCUACCUGUAAUCUCCUCUAAAUAGAAACCAUUUAUAUUCUUGCUAGGGAAGCGAGAAAUGACCAGACAAUGAGAGUUCAGCCAAACCAAACCUUCCUAUAACUCUGCAAAAGGCAAACGCUCUCUGGUACUGACAUUAACAAUGGUAUGGGCUCUUAGAAACCGUACAAUUUCGGUUUUAUUUAUUUUAAUACUGUUUGCCUGUGAAAUUUCAGAAGCUGGCAGUUUAUAAGAGCAGAAGCUGAGUUUUUACUCUUGGAUUUUGAUUCAGUUUCUUUAAAGCACAAGAAAGACUGAGCACCAGCCCAGUGCUGUGCAGCAUUUGUGCCCUCCCAAUGGGUGCUGUGUUGAUAACCCAAAGGUGCAAUACAACAGCCGUUACUCAGUGAUGCUGUUGAGCACUGCAGCAGUGGUGCAGAUGUUAUCCUUGCCCCACCCUGUGGUUUGGCAUCAUGCUGCCCUCCCUGCAAACUCCCAUCUAUGUGCUGGGAGGUAAGGACGGGUCUGGGGGUGCGCCAGGCCAUGGCCAGUGGGAGCUGUGCUGGAGGCAGUGAGUUUGGGGAAGGUGUUGGGCUUUGAAAAAAGCUGGUAGCCUGAAGGGGCAGCAGAGGCUGCUCUCAGUCCUCCAGGUACUUGGUCUGUGCUGCUGUGCUUGGGUGAAGGCUUCCAACAAUGGGCCUGAGGCCUCCUGUGGGAUCUGAUCACAUCAGGUCUUUGGGGGAUGCGCUUUGGUAAAUCAGAAAGUGAGCUCUCCACUCACAGGCCCUCUUCUCUCUCUAAGAUUUAGUAUGUCCAUAGUUGGCACCCAAAUGCUACGGUGUGAGUAUAGGCAUGCACUGAACUAACAGAUCCAGCUGGAGAAUCUCAGUUUGGAUCUACCUGUUUCUUGAACCUGGCUUAUUUAUAAGCUGAGAUCAAGGAUUCCACAUGACAUUUCCCCAAUCCCAUGGGUGCUAUGCCUAUUUCUGGUAUGAGCUAUUCUCUGCCCUGUCUGUCUGUAUGUGUUAUUUAUCUUUGCACAUGUGCCUAGCUUCAUGUUAUUAUUUAUGAAUGCUCCUCAUCAUUCUCCCAAAGAGAGCCCAACACUGCAAGGGGGCAGGGACUCUGUUUCUUACACACAGUAACUCAGUACAGCCUUUAGGCAUCACUGAAACUCAAAGCAUUCAUUCCAUUGAGUUUAGCCAGUAAAAAGCACUUCACCUGUCUCACACUUCUUGGAGUUUUACUGAUUUCCCUUCUGUGGAGCAACAACUUCACCACAAUUCUUCCCUUCUCUCUCUUUUAAAGUUUUCUUUUUUUUCUUUCUUUCUUUCUUUUUUUUUUUUUUUUUUUUUUGCUAACUGUUAAGCAAUUCCACCUGGAGAUGUGAGAACUUCACAGGCUGUAAAGCUUACAUCCUGCAAAUCUCCUUAUCCAGUAUUAAAAACAUCUAAAGGAGUGGAAGCACUGCUGAAAUAUAUUGUUAUGCUUAGGAAUGGACACAGGGAUGAGAUUUGCUCAACAAAAUAAUCUUUAUGGUUUUAGGAAUGGCACAGUGAAUUAAUAUGAAUCCAAUGGAAUUAUAGAAAUUACCUUCUACAGAAACAACUACUUUACAACAGUGAAGUUAAAGUCAUGAAAAAUAUCUUAAAAGCAGUUACUGUGAAAGUCCUUCUCUCCCCACAGUGACGUUUGCAAAGGGGAGACAUCUGUUUCUCAUGUAAAUUAAUACUUACACUUAAGAUACACAAUAGAAAUAUUUAUCAAAAAUAGGAUAAUGGCAAAGACUGAAAGGAUUGGUUUACGCACCCAUAGUGGAGGCAAGACAACACUUGCAAAUUGCGUAGAAGCACACUGAUCUUAAGUUGAAAUACUCUGUAUAAGCAUGGGAUUAUUCGUGUCUGUGUGUUUGUAUAUGCAUUUGUGUCUACGUACUUAGUAAUUGUUUCUAAUAGGUUAUGGUUUUGGAAAUACUAGCCUGUGCAAUACUAGUCCCAUCCUCAUAUUUACGUAAAACGUUUGCCAUUUUUCAUUGGCUUUAGUUCUUGUUAACUUAUGGAAAAGCUUUCUAGCUACACUUCCAUGCUCCGUUGUACCCUGCCAUCACCACAGCCAUACAGUGUGGUGCUCCCAGGCUUCUGUUUGAAACAAAGAUGUAAUGCAGAGCCAAGGAACUGCAUGAUGUAAAUCUGCAGAGUAUCCCAGUCCCUAUCACAGGCUUAUAUCUCCACUUGAUGAGUACUGAAAACCAAAGCCUGAUGUCAUGUGUGCAUUCUCAAAGGAACGAAGAAGAGCAUGUGAGCGUGUAGUUGUGUUACUGAAACAUCACCAUGUCUGUGCUGAACUGGAGGCAGCAGCAUGCAGAGCUUUGUGGUUCUUUAUGCCUUAAAGGAAAACCUUAUAACAUGUUUUUCUUCAUGUUGCCAUAACACUUUGUAUCUUAGCAAUAAAUACUGGGUAGAUUUAGUGUUAUCGCAAGAAAUUUGUGCUCCGGAGAUUUACUGUUCCACUCCCACAGCACCUUUAAACCCCACAUCAGUGGUAGGACAGCAAUUCCUGGCCGCCGUUAGGACCAAUUUACCUCAUUUCCUCUGUUUCAGCAAAGUGAGAUCGAAGAGGUUAGAAAAAUAACAAACAUAAAAACAGGAGGAAAGCUAUUGCUAACCUCUGCGUGUAACAGAGUCACACUUCAGAACAAGCCCAAAGGGUUCUGCUUGGCGGAGGCGAGGGGAAAUCUUUGUACUGCUGGGCUCACAUUGCUGCUUGUCGCUGUUGUCAUGUCUCAUCUGGGUGUCUUUAACAUGAAAUAAAAUAUUACCAUGCUAAGGACCAAAAAAGUGAGAAAUGCACUCAUCUGUGUCCCUGACUUGUGCCAAAGAAUUUUUCAUUCCUACCUCAGCUCUAAUGUGAAAUGUGUUAAAUGAAAAUCUCCAGGAGAGUAUCCAGAAUAGAUAGGCAUGUUUAGGUCAGCAUACCAUUUGGCAUUGCCAUGGACCUCGUCUCUAAUUACUAAAGAAAUAGUGAGUUAGUGACUUAAAGUCCACAGUGACUGUGACCUAAAUCAUUUCCAUUCUGGAUAGUGGCCUGAAAUAAAGAGGGCUUUUCAUUAGCGUGGCACAGAUUUAGUGUCGUGGGACAUGGAGUUUGUGCUUCAGAGGAAGUGCGGUCAAUGGGCCAUUAAGUUUUGAAACAAGAGGCAGACAUCUUCUAAUCUCAGUGCUGUUGACAAUAAAUAUUGGGG
Gallus gallus (chicken) is the source of this 7099-nucleotide long non-coding RNA. NCBI's taxonomy places the organism in Eukaryota, Metazoa, Chordata, Aves, Galliformes, Phasianidae. The record is from Ensembl.